RNAcentral lists this ribosomal RNA (429 nucleotides) under Acidobacteriota bacterium. Its description in RNAcentral is "Acidobacteria bacterium partial 16S ribosomal RNA". It matches the Rfam family "Bacterial small subunit ribosomal RNA", at positions 355 to 776 of the family's 1533-position model. The record is from RNAcentral. Lineage: Bacteria; Pseudomonadati; Acidobacteriota.
UGGGGAAUUUUGGACAAUGGGGGAAACCCUGAUCCAGCCAUCCCGCGUGUGCGAUGAAGGCCUUCGGGUUGUAAAGCACUUUUGGCAGGCAAGAAACGUCAUGGGUUAAUACCCCGUGACACUGACGGUACCUGCAGAAUAAGCACCGGCUAACUACGUCCCAGCAGCCGCGGUAUUACGUAGGGUGCAAGCGUUAAUCGGAAUUAGUGGGAGUAAGGCGUGCGCAGGCGGUUCGGAAAGAAAGAAGUGAAAUCCAAGAGCUCAACUUUGGAACUGCAUUUUUAACUACCGGGCUAGAGUGUGUCAGAGGGAGGUGGAAUGGAGCGUGUAGCAGUGAAAUGCGUAGAUAUGCGGAGGAACACCGAUAGCGAAGGCAGCCUCCUGGGAUAACACUGACGCUCAUGCACGAAAGCGUGGGGAGCAAACAGG